CCUACGGGGGGCUGCAGUUAGGAAUUUUGGGCAAUGGGCGGAAGCCUGACCCAGCAACGCCGCGUGGGUGAUGAAGGCCCUCGGGUCGUAAAGCCCUUUUCCCAGGGAAGAUAGUGACGGUACCUGGGGAAUCAGCCCCGGCUAACUACGUGCCAGCAGCCGCGGUAAUACGUAGGGGGCAAGCGUUGUCCGGAUUUAUUGGGCGUAAAGCGCUCGCAGGUGGUUCGUUGCGUCGUGCGUGAAAGACCCUGGCUCAACUGGGGAGUGUCGUGCGAUACGGGCGGACUAGAGGCCAGUAGGGGGAUGCGGAAUUCCGGGUGUAGUGGUGGAAUGCGUAGAGAUCCGGAGGAACACCAGCGGCGAAGGCGGCAUCCUGGACUGGUCCUGACACUCAGGAGCGAAAGCGUGGGGAGCGAUCCGGAUUAGAUACCCCAGUAGUC
Molecule: ribosomal RNA, 440 nt
Filed under: uncultured bacterium
Lineage: Bacteria
Description: partial 16S ribosomal RNA
Rfam family: Bacterial small subunit ribosomal RNA
Source: RNAcentral